This 57-nucleotide transfer RNA is filed under the name Melipona bicolor. Its description in RNAcentral is "tRNA-Ser". The record is from RNAcentral. Lineage: Eukaryota; Metazoa; Arthropoda; Insecta; Hymenoptera; Apidae.
GAAAUAAAAAAUAUAAAGCUUCUAACUUUAUUUAAGAUAUAAUAUAUCUAUAUUUCU